UAACCAAAGUACGUCGGAGCUGCUCCGGCAAGGUGUUCUGAUUUAUCCGGGGCCGGCGCGGGGUCCGGGAGCCCCCUCCCGGGGAGGCGGGGGCGAGCAGCGCCUACCUUGUUGGAGGCCAUCUCACUGACGGAGUGCCUGGUCUGCAGGGUCUCCAGCUGGUCCAGACACCAGUCCAGCUCCUCCAGGGUCUCGCUGGCCAGUUUCUGUCCCCAGCCCGGGCCCCCGCUAAGUACCAGACUUGGGAGUGUUGGGGCGGACAUGGACGGGCAGACAAGAACAACGGCUCCAGAAGGCACGGAGUUGACAACGCGCCGCAUCUUCACCUUGAGAAUGGUCUAAGAGCCCUCUUAAAGGAGCCGCAGGGUGAAUGUGCCACACACUAUGGGCACUGGACACACGUCCUGCAUACGUGCUCCCCCAGUCCGCAGACCUGCGAAUCAGAGACCGGGAUGCUCUUGUGAUGCCAAAGGAGAAGGUCUGCAAGGGUGUUUCUGCCCACCAGGUGCAGAAUAAACUACAAACGUGAGAAAAAGGAAGAGACCACGUCCACAGACACCGUGUGGAAGCUGGUUCCGUUUUCGGAAGCUGACCCUGGGGACCUUGGGCACUCAACAUUAAAAGGAUCGAUUGCAGAGAACCUCACUACACUAAACAAAACUUUGAGAGAGGAAAAUAAUCCAAACUCCGAAGAGUCACAUCUUACAAAACUCGGUUAUCCUCAAUUACAAAGAAUACGCUGAAAAGCUUACGUGAUGUUGGUGAGAUCCCCUUUCCUUGGUCUUCAAAUCUACAGGUGGUCAAGGAGAAGAAACUCUGCCCUUGAAAUUCAGACUCCAUAAAUGAUCAGUGGCACAACAGAGAGUUUUCACAGACUGAAUCUUCUGGCUUCUGGAAUUUACCAGAUAGGUUUUUGCAGCAAAUUUGUAAAAGUUAGAAUAACUUUCAAAGUAUUUGUUACAUGGGCCACUGGCUCAUUGUUAUCAAGGAUUCUUGGACUGUUUGGUAUUCACUUUGAGGACUCUGUGUUAAAAUUUGCCUCUUUUAUUCCUUUUCCUUUUCUGCAUCAAUCUAGGUAAAUACAUACUCUAGGUGGACAAACAGCUGCCUAAACCUUGACAGGUAAAUUAAAAAGUGAGAUUAGACCUUUUUCCCCUACCAAAAAUAACAACCUUAAAGAUAAUUUAAAAUAGUAAGUAUGAAGUGUUUUAUCUGAAUAGCCUUUCCCUGAUUACGGGAAUAUAAAAAUACAACUGAUUCUUAUAAAAAUGGAAACGUUACAUAACGAUGUAAUGUAGAAAGUCCCUUGUAACCCCAUACCCUAAGGAUCACAAAUAAUAAGUAAGCCUAUGAUCAUAACACAUUUUCAUUUUACUUAAUACCUUCCAUAUGCAAGUAUAGAGCAAUCUAAUUGAAAUGGUAGUACAUCUACUAUGUGGUUUGGUUUUAUUUUUGCUUUUUUCCUCCCUCUCUACUAUAUAAAAUAAGGAUGUAGGACAUUUUAAGAGGAAAUUAACUUAUUUUAGGUUAUUUCAGUUGUCUAUAGUGAGCAUGUCCAGUGGGGUAUAGAUGCAAAACCAUUGUGCCUAGGAUGUGUUCACUGCCAUUUUUCCGGCCACUGGUUACACAUGGAAGCCAGGAAUCCCUUCUCCAUACCUCUAAGGCUUGUGCUCCAAGCCUUUCAAAGUCUGAGCCCCAAAGGAACCUCCCCAGUAUAAGUAAUCUCCCCAUUUUCACCAACUUCUCAAACCUGGAAAUACAGGCCUUGGACUUAGCUGGGGGUGGCACUACAUUAUUAUUAUUAUAUUUCAGCAUUUACUUUUCAAUUGUAAAAGGGGACAGUAAUUCAGGAAAGUUUCAAUGCUUUAAACUUUUUUUUCUUAAUUUUUAAAAUUCUUAAGAUUUAUAUAUUCAUGAGAGACACACAGACAGAGAGAAAGAGAGGCAGAGACACAGGCAGAGGGAGAAGCAGGCUCCAUGCAGGGAGCCUGACGUGGGAUUCAAUCCCAGGUCUCCAGGAUCACACCCUGGGCUGAAGGUGGCGCUAACCUGCUGAGCCACCCGUGCUGCCCAGUUUCAGUGCUUUAUACUUAAAUACAGGACUUGCCUUUAAAAAGGCAGUAUAGCAACAAGAGGGACAACCUAAUUCAGAAGAUCUACUAUUUGUCCAAAUCAUAGAUGACCCACUUUGACAAUCAGCAUUCGGGUACAGCCCUAAUGUGGUACGUAUAGGUAUUUUAAGUUCUGACUACUUCUGCAUGCAUUGUAUGAAUCUGGAGAAGGGAAAAACAAUGACUGGAACACAUCUACAUGUCAAUAAGUAUAAAAACAAGUUCUGGCAGAGUAAAGAAAUUUGUUCUAUAAAACUGUUGCUCAAAUAAUUAUUGCCGAUAUUAGUACAGAGAUGAGAAUACUACUUUUUCCAAAUCCCUUAGUUUAUAGGCAAUAUAGCUAGCCACAGUUUUUUGGGAUCAUUAUUAAAGUUUAACUUUUAGGAAUUUUUACCCCAAAUGUUCUAAGACAUCGAGUAACUGACCUUUUCAUCCCCAGUAAAAAAAAAAAAAAAAAAAAAAAACCUCGAUGCAGAGUUGCCAGCUAUCCUACAGGAAAUUGAGUCACCACACCAAACAACACACCUAAAUGUCAUUGACAGCUAACAGGACAAAAACAGUGACCCAGUUUAAUUUUGGAUUUUACCAAGAACACAUACUGCAUUCAUUAAUAAAAUGCUUUCUCUCUAGAGAGUAUUCACUGUGGUACUACUUGAAAAUAGUAUAUGAAAUCUCUUUUUUUUUCCAACUGUCCAAAAUCUUGCUAAGUCAAGGAGCUACAAGGGAGAAAAAUGCCCAAGCCCAAUUAUUAGCUCUAUCCCGUAAAAGCUAGGAAGAGGGCUCUGGGACAGCAAGUGCAAAAUAACUUGAGCUCUUGGAAGUCCCCUCCUACAGCAGUGUCGGGUUUUUUUCAAGGCACCCUUGAACUAUGUAACACCCCUGUUUCUGCUCAGGAUUUUCUGUGAACAAACAGUCCUCAAUUCUUGCAGGCCAGCACUUGGCUUCCGUCAUUGUGAUGUGAUCAAGGAUUCCCCUGACACAUGGCCUGAACUGGUGCCAGGGGCUCCCAGAGAAGAUGCUGAAGCAGCAGCUUCCCUUUGCAAAGGAAAAAAAGUAAUCGCCUCAGAGCCACAGCAGUUAGUUAGAGGUUGAGGUCGUUUUCUUGGGAAAUGUUCAGCCAAUUACUCUUAUCUACAACCUAUAGCAACACUGACCAAUGAGAUAAAAGGAUCCAUUCUACAAGAUGUGUAAUAGUGUGGAUGUUGGUCUUUCUUUUUUCUUUUCUUUUGCUUCUUCUCUUCUCUUUUCUUUUCUUUCCUUUCUCCGUUCCCUCCCUUCCUUCCUUCAGUAUUUGAGUGAUUAAAGAUCUAUGUAACUUAGUCAUAAUUCCUAGAUAGGCCAACUGGAGUAAAUGAAGAGAACAGGUACAAAAUCACUUAUCAUGGGUACCAUUUGCUUACAUUUAGUUAAAAAACAAAUAUAAAUUAAAAAGUUGAUUCAGUUUUUCUUAAAAUUAAAAAAAAACUUCACUAAAUAUCUUCAAAGAGCAAAUACUUAAAUAUGUAUCUUUCUAACUGAUUCCAGCUUCUCCUGUCCUAAUUCCUACCAAAAUUGCCUCUUUGUUCCUAAGGAUGGAGUUGAUAGUGUCUAAAGUAGGGAGAACUGGAGAAAAAUGAUUCCUAUUUCACCACGUAUUGCUUCGAGCUAGUUCCCCCUUGCAUUUGCUACAGUAAAAGAUUUGUCCAGGUUGGUUCUAACUUUUGCUGACUGAUUUUUUUCCCCCUCUAUUCAUUUUAUCUGAUGGGAAAUACAUAAAGGAGUUGGAUUUACUUUCAGUGUGUACAUGUAACAGGUUUAAGUAGAGCUUGCCAGUGGCAAGCUGCUCUCACUUCCAAGUGUAUUACUGGCACCAAGUUCUUGUUUUGAAGUAUUUUAAAAUCUUAUGAAAUAUAUAAAAUUUCACUUAGUACUUCCAAAAACCUCCAAAGGGAAGAUGUACAUAAUUUUGUGAGGUUUCUUUUUUAUUUUUAUCUUCCUACAAUCUACAAUUAUUUCUAGUGCCGCCUAAGGCUCUAGUAGAAUUUUUUAAAUGAAAUAAACACAAGAUUAGGUUUCACUGACUUCUAGGACUCUCAGUAAUUCAACAAAUAUUUGUUUAGCACCAACUCUGUGUCAUGCAUUUUAUUAGAGUCUGCAAAAACAAUGUGUCUAAAAGACUGUGUCCCUUAUCCAACGAAAACCUAGACUUUGUGGAGAGGAUUUCAGCAUCCUCUAUUGUAGAAAGCAUUCUGAAAGAAAAUAACAUGGAAGCGGCUAUUAGAAAGUAAAAAAGGCUUAUUUAAAUCAGAUUGGUAUAGAGUCGGAGUGGGAGGCCAAAUCCCAAAGAAUGAAAUAGGAGGUAAGUGAAGAGUGGUGGAAGAGAGUUUAAGAGAGAACAUGUGA
Long non-coding RNA from Canis lupus familiaris (dog), 4493 nucleotides. RefSeq lists it as uncharacterized. NCBI's taxonomy places the organism in Eukaryota, Metazoa, Chordata, Mammalia, Carnivora, Canidae. The record is from RefSeq and is a predicted model, not a curated record. The transcript is spliced from 2 exons.